RNAcentral lists this ribosomal RNA (1388 nucleotides) under metagenome. Its description in RNAcentral is "SSU rRNA". It matches the Rfam family "Eukaryotic small subunit ribosomal RNA", at positions 376 to 1801 of the family's 1831-position model. The record is from RNAcentral.
UUCGAUUCCGGAGAGGGAGCCUGAGAAACGGCUACCACAUCUAAGGAAGGCAGCAGGCGCGCAAAUUACCCAAUCCCGGCUCGGGGAGGUAGUGACAAAAAAUAACAAUACGGGACUCUUAUGAGGCUUCGUAAUUGGAAUGAGUACAUUCUAAAUCCUUUAACGAGGAACUAUUGGAGGGCAAGUCUGGUGCCAGCAGCCGCGGUAAUUCCAGCUCCAAUAGCGUAUAUUAAAGUUGUUGCGUCUAAAAAGCUCGUAGUUUGAAAACUUGCCUUGGCUUACAACAGACGUCUAAGGGCGUCACCGUUUGUCGAGAGCAAAUAUGGGUGACUGUUCUUGCCUUCUUCACUGAUUGGCUCGUAAAAGUCAUCGAAGAUCACUUUGAUUAAAUUAGGGUGCUCAAAGCAAGUGUGCUACUUGAAUAUGAAUGCAUGGAAUGAUGGAAUAUGUUGUUGUUCUAUUUGUUGGUUUUUUGAAUGACGAAAUGAUUGAAAGGAACUGUUGGGGGCAUUCGUAUUGUUGUGAGAGAGGUGAAAUUCUUAGACCAUAGCAAGACGAACUACUGCGAAAGCAUUUGCCAAGAAUGUUUUCAUUGAUCAAGAACGAAAGUUAGAGGUUCGAAGGCGAUCAGAUACCGCCCUAGUUCUAACCAUAAACUAUGCCGACUAGCAAUUUGCUUUGUAUUUUUAUGACUAAGUGAGAGGCCACGGGAAACCAAAGUAGGGUUAUGGGGGAAGUAUGGUUGCAAAGCUGAAACUUAAAGGAAUUGACGGAAGGGCACCACCAGGAGUGGAGCCUGCGGCUUAAUUUGACCCAACACGGGAAAACUUACCUGGUCCUGACACUAGAAGGAUUGACAGAUUGAUAGCUCUUUCUUGAUUUGGUGGAUGGUGGUGCAUGGCCGUUCUUAGUUGGUGGAGUGAUUUGUCUGGUUAAUUCCGAUAACGAACGAGACUCUAGCCUAUUAAAUAAUAUGCGGAAUCAAUUUCUCCCGCGUUAUUUCUUAAUGGGAUCAAGCGUGUUUAACGCUUUGAAACAGAGCAAUAACAGGUCUGUGAUGCCCUUAGAUGUUCGGGGCUGCACGCGCGCUACAUUGAAGAGCAAAGUGAGCCCUCUGGCUUUUAACAAAGCUAGAAAUCUUUUAAUGUUCUUCUUAAUGGGGAUAGGGGAUUGCAAUUGUGCCCCUUGAACGAGGAAUUCCCAGUAAGUGCUAGUCAUUAGCUAGUACUGAUUACGUCCCUGCCCUUUGUACACACCGCCCGUCGCUACUACCGAUUGAAUAGUUUAGUGAGAUCAUCUGAGUGUUUGUAUGUGCAUUCUGUGCUUGUAUGGUGUACGAAGAAGAUCAAACUUGAUUAUUUAGAGCAAGUAAAAGUCGUAACAAGGUU